Molecule: ribosomal RNA, 600 nt
Filed under: Triticum aestivum (bread wheat)
Lineage: Eukaryota; Viridiplantae; Streptophyta; Magnoliopsida; Poales; Poaceae
Description: partial small subunit ribosomal RNA
Source: RNAcentral
AUGUGCCAAGCCGCGAGAGUGUGCCACAACAAUGGCAUGGUCGCGUCGGUUUCAUCUCUCCUGAUCUCGCUCGUCAUCAAGCCCCUGGCCAAGAACGCCAUCCUCACGGGCCGGAGCAUCCUCGCCCUCCUCGCCGGCGACGGCGCCGGCAACGCGAGCGCCGCGGCCGCUCCACGUGGGCAGCAUUGCGAGCAGUGCGCCGCGAGGGACGGCGCGCGCCUGUGGAGCUCCGACGCGGCGGCGGUCAUGGCGACCCUGGGCCUGGUUCCACCCCGACGCGGCAGUGACGACGACGACGACGACGGGAUGGUUGUGUGUGGUGGAUGCGAGGCGAUGGGGGUGGUGGAGGAGGUGGCGUGGGGGAGCAAGGAGGCCGGGGAGGCGGAGCUGCGGGAGGCGUUCGGUGUGUUCGACCGGGACGGGGACGGGCUGGUGAGCGCGGCGGAGCUGUGGGGCGUGCUGCGGCGGCUCGGCAUGACCGAGGGCGCCAGGUACGAGGACUGCGCCAGGAUGGUCGCCGCCGCGGCCGCCCGCCACGGCGGCGCGGACGGCGGGCUCGGGUUCCCCGAGUUCAAAGCCAUGAUGGAGCACGCGGUUUAA